RNAcentral lists this ribosomal RNA (252 nucleotides) under uncultured bacterium. RNAcentral's name for it is "partial 16S ribosomal RNA". It matches the Rfam family "Bacterial small subunit ribosomal RNA", at positions 524 to 775 of the family's 1533-position model. The record is from RNAcentral.
UACGGAGGGUGCGAGCGUUGUCCGGAAUCAUUGGGCGUAAAGGGCGCGUAGGUGGCGGGACAAGCGUGCGGUGAAAGCUCGGGGCUCAACCCCGAGUCGGCCGUGCGAACUGUUUUGCUUGAGCACUGUAGAGGCAGGCGGAAUUCCGGGUGUAGCGGUGGAAUGCGUAGAGAUCCGGAAGAACACCGGUGGCGAAGGCGGCCUGCUGGGCAGUAGCUGACACUGAGGCGCGACAGCGUGGGGAGCAACAGG